GUAACGGCGAGUGAAGCGGCAACAGCUCAAAUUUGAAAUCUGGCCCCAGGCCCGAGUUGUAAUUUGUAGAGGAUGCUUUUGGCGCGGUGCCUUCCGAGUUCCCUGGAACGGGACGCCAUAGAGGGUGAGAGCCCCGUACGGUCGGACACCUAGCCUCUGUAAAGCUCCUUCGACGAGUCGAGUAGUUUGGGAAUGCUGCUCAAAAUGGGAGGUAUAUUUCUUCUAAAGCUAAAUACCGGCCAGAGACCGAUAGCGCACAAGUAGAGUGAUCGAAAGAUGAAAAGCACUUUGAAAAGAGGGUUAAACAGCACGUGAAAUUGUUAAAAGGGAAGCGCUUGUGACCAGACUUGCGCCCGGCGAAUCAUCCAGCGUUCUCGCUGGUGCACUUCGCCGGCUCAGGCCAGCAUCAGCUCGCUGUCGGGGACAAAAGCUUCGGGAACGUAGCUCCUCUCGGGGAGUGUUAUAGCCCGUUGCACAAUACCCUUCGGCGGGCUGAGGUACGCGCUCCGCAAGGAUGCUGGCAUAAUGGUCAUCAGCGACCCGUCUUGAAACACGGACCAAGGAGUCAACCUUAUGUGCGAGUGUUUGGGUGUUAAACCCCUACGCGUAAUGAAAGUGAACGUAGGUGAGAGCUUCGGCGCAUCAUCGACCGAUCCUGAUGUUCUCGGAUGGAUUUGAGUAAGAGCAUAUAGGGUUGGACCCGAAAGAAGAUGAACUAUGCGUGUAUAGGGUGAAGCCAGAGGAAACUCUGGUGGAGGCUCGCAGCGGUUCUGACGUGCAAAUCGAUCGUCAAAUAUGCGCAUGGGGGCGAAA
This 813-nucleotide ribosomal RNA is filed under the name Malaysiasca phaii. RNAcentral's name for it is "partial 28S large subunit ribosomal RNA". It matches the Rfam family "Eukaryotic large subunit ribosomal RNA", at positions 83 to 928 of the family's 3401-position model. The record is from RNAcentral. Lineage: Eukaryota; Fungi; Ascomycota; Sordariomycetes; Glomerellales.